UUUUUUUUUGAUGGGCCAUGAUUGUUGAAAAUGGUUAAGUCCAUUCAUCUUUUUUUUGUUUUAUAAAAAUCCAUUUUUUGUUAGGCCCAAUAGUAAGCCCAUAAUCCACCUUGGUUAUCCAAUAAUUAUCCACUGUUUGGCCCAUAAGCCAUAUCCAAAACCAUUUGUAUUAUCCAUCUAUUCUCCAGUUUUCAUAUCCAGUCCAUGUCCGCUAAGAAAAUUUAAAUUCAUUUCUAACAAUUGUCCAUUUAACAUAUAAAGCCAAAGCAAUUGGAAUUGAAAGCUACGAGCAAACCAGUUCACAUCAGCUGCAACGUACAAAAACGCAUGUGCUCAAAAGCUACCAAAUGUUACGCACAAAACGACGAUCCAAGCACAGGGUAAAAAAGGUGAAACGCAAACGACAUGUUGUGGCAAGUUCGCACGCUGCGAAUGGCAACUAGCUGCGAAGCAUCUCAAAGCAAAUGACGCGCAAACGCAACGGCUGCUAAACGACAACAACACCAGCUGCAUUAGAAAUCGACAACUUGAUACACCAAACCGUACAAGCUACAUAGAACCGCCGGCAAAACUCAAUCCCGCAACAACUACAACAGCAACGACUACACAAGAUAAAAACCAUAAGCUGAUGUACAAGCAACAACAACGGCCUUCCACAUCCAACAGCAACACCGGCAAUGCGAAACCUGCAGAAAACCAGAUCCAACAGUUAACUAACCAACUGAAUUUUGCAGCUUCAUAACUAUAACCAACUCAAACCUGCAAUAGAACUUCAACAAAAGUCAGAACCAUAACUGAUGGAACUCAAUAUAUCUUUUCUUCCUCCAAGUAUCAGAGACAAAACCUGCAAAACGCAUUACGAUGGUUUCACUGCAUAUAGUCAUAACAGUUGCCAUUUUAACAAAGACUUGCUAACUGUCAUGAGAACAUCACCAAAAUCAAUCCUAAACUUUCCUAACAAAUUAAUUCAUCAACCACACGUGCACAUAACAUUAACAUGAGAAAUAAGCAUGGAGCUAACAGCAUGACUAACAAGUUCUACCUAGUUCAGUAAGGUUUUUCGCAUAGCAGUAUCGAAUACUUCGUAAUUGCUUCCACCAUUAAUUGUCAGCUUGUUAUAACCUAUACAACUGACCUCAAUCCAUUGUGUAAUUAACCAAAACGCAAUAUGACUAACAUUGGAGAUAGUUUCUAGCGGACUCUAACAACUUAACUAACCUAAUCCAUUCUAACCAACUCAACAAAUAUCCUAACAGAACUCACAACUAACCUAACCAAUCCCUAACCGAAAUUCAUAACAGAAAAGAGAAGAGAAAGAAAUUCAGAAAGCUAUAAAAGCAUACCUCAAUCUCUCUCAAAUGGUUGGAUCCUCUCACCACAUUCACGCUUCUUCAACCUUUUUCUUUUUUUCUUCACUUCCUUCUCCUCCACCUUCAACCUCAUUUCCAUCUUCUCUCCGCCCUCAACCUUCAAACUCAUACACAGCAAUCAAUUCCUUCCAUUCCUAAGCCUGGACAAGAAUUCACAUCCACAAUGAUUCAACCUUCGAAGACAAAACGGAAAUAGUAGAAGCGAGGACAAACUCUCAGAAUCGCACGCCAUAACAAAGGGAAUAGAAGAAGGAGAUAGGUGACAAGAAGUUGAGAGAAGAGACUUACGGUUCAAGAAGCGUUGUCGUCUCAAUUGGCCAAGCACGAACUCGAGUCUUCAUUCCUCAUCCCUCACCGUCAUCGAGCACCAACAACGGCGGAAAGCGGAUUCAUCCUCUUCACGCUCACAAUUCGCGACGGCUCGGCAACCCUUGGAGCAACCUUCAACUCUCAUUCUCGCACAACAACUCGCUUCAACAACGCGUUCCGUUCAAAAGCUUCACGCAAUCAAGAACAAGCAGUAAGCAUAAAUCACGAUCAAUCGAAGAAGAAGAUCGAGCAGAAGAGGAAGGGAAGAAAUUCAAUCUAACCUGCCGACCAAGUGAUCACUUGCACGCGUCGCUCUUCAUUUCCAAGACCGAAUUAACACCUUCACUUCUUAAUAGUAUAAUUAGAAUUUAACUAGGUUAAGGUUUUGAUUUAGUUAAAAUAGAAUUUUUAUGAAUGUUAUGAUAACUAAUUGUCAUUAGUUCUUAAUUAGGUUUUCUGGCGUUAGAA
Molecule: long non-coding RNA, 2147 nt
Filed under: Lathyrus oleraceus (garden pea)
Lineage: Eukaryota; Viridiplantae; Streptophyta; Magnoliopsida; Fabales; Fabaceae
Description: Pisum sativum (pea) long non-coding RNA (PSAT_LNC042047)
Source: RNAcentral